Molecule: ribosomal RNA, 1346 nt
Filed under: uncultured bacterium
Lineage: Bacteria
Description: bacterial SSU rRNA
Rfam family: Bacterial small subunit ribosomal RNA
Source: RNAcentral
GACGAACGCUGGCGGCGUGCUUAACACAUGCAAGUCGAACGGAAAGGCCCUGCUUUUGUGGGGUGCUCGAGUGGCGAACGGGUGAGUAACACGUGAGUAACCUGCCCUUGACUUUGGGAUAACUUCAGGAAACUGGGGCUAAUACCGGAUAGGAGCUCCUGCUGCAUGGUGGGGGUUGGAAAGUUUCGGCGGUUGGGGAUGGACUCGCGGCUUAUCAGCUUGUUGGUGGGGUAGUGGCUUACCAAGGCUUUGACGGGUAGCCGGCCUGAGAGGGUGACCGGCCACAUUGGGACUGAGAUACGGCCCAGACUCCUACGGGAGGCAGCAGUGGGGAAUAUUGCACAAUGGGCGGAAGCCUGAUGCAGCAACGCCGCGUGCGGGAUGACGGCCUUCGGGUUGUAAACCGCUUUCGCCUGUGACGAAGCGUGAGUGACGGUAAUGGGUAAAGAAGCACCGGCUAACUACGUGCCAGCAGCCGCGGUGAUACGUAGGGUGCGAGCGUUGUCCGGAUUUAUUGGGCGUAAAGGGCUCGUAGGUGGUUGAUCGCGUCGGAAGUGUAAUCUUGGGGCUUAACCCUGAGCGUGCUUUCGAUACGGGUUGACUUGAGGAAGGUAGGGGAGAAUGGAAUUCCUGGUGGAGCGGUGGAAUGCGCAGAUAUCAGGAGGAACACCAGUGGCGAAGGCGGUUCUCUGGGCCUUUCCUGACGCUGAGGAGCGAAAGCGUGGGGAGCGAACAGGCUUAGAUACCCUGGUAGUCCACGCUGUAAACGGUGGGUACUAGGUGUGGGGUCCACUCCACGGGUUCCGUGCCGUAGCUAACGCUUUAAGUACCCCGCCUGGGGAGUACGGCCGCAAGGCUAAAACUCAAAGGAAUUGACGGGGCCCCGCACAAGCGGCGGAGCAUGCGGAUUAAUUCGAUGCAACGCGUAGAACCUUACCUGGGUUUGACAUGGAUCGGGAGCGCUCAGAGAUGGGUGUGCCUCUUUUGGGGUCGGUUCACAGGUGGUGCAUGGCUGUCGUCAGCUCGUGUCGUGAGAUGUUGGGUUAAGUCCCGCAACGAGCGCAACCCUUGUUCACUGUUGCCAGCACGUUAUGGUGGGGACUCAGUGGAGACCGCCGGGGUCAACUCGGAGGAAGGUGGGGAUGACGUCAAGUCAUCAUGCCCCUUAUGUCCAGGGCUUCACGCAUGCUACAAUGGCCGGUACAGAGAGUGGCGAGCCUGUGAGGGUGAGCGAAUCUCGGAAAGCCGGUCUCAGUUCGGAUUGGGGUCUGCAACUCGACCUCAUGAAGUCGGAGUCGCUAGUAAUCGCAGAUCAGCAACGCUGCGGUGAAUACGUUCCCGGGGCU